RNAcentral lists this long non-coding RNA (775 nucleotides) under Homo sapiens (human). RNAcentral's name for it is "non-protein coding lnc-UGT2A3-7:1". The record is from RNAcentral. Lineage: Eukaryota; Metazoa; Chordata; Mammalia; Primates; Hominidae.
AAAUUCAUUAGAAGGGACCAUUUGCUUGACGAAGCUGAAGGUCUUUUACCAGAUGACGAGCUUACAUUAUUUUGUGAGAUGAGUGUGGUACUAGAUUCAGUAAACAUAUCAGGACAUACUAAUACAAAUACUUUGAAGGUGGCUGAGUGUCGACUAGGAGAAGAUUUAUGUAAUCUCUGUGAAAACACAAGAUGUACAGACUGUAGUUUUUUGUGAGAGGACAAGAAUUUAAAGCUCAUAAAUCUGCUGGUACCUCCAUCCCCAGUUUUUAAUGCCAUGUUUGAACAUGAAAUGGAAGAAAACAUAAAGAAUCGAGUGGAAAUAAAUUAUUUAGGCCCUGAUGUUUUUAAAGAAAUGAUGAGAUUCAUUAACACAGGGAAAUAACUAAACCUUGACAAAAUGGCUGACAACUUGUUGGCAGCUGCAGACAAACAUGCACUGGGAACAGCUGAAAGUCAUGUGUGAGGAAGCUUUGUGUAGUAAUCCCUCAGUAGAAAAUGUUGUUGAUACACUUGUCCUUGCAGAUUUGCACAUUGCAGAACAGUUGAAAGCAAAAGCCAUAGACAUUAUUAGUAGGUGCAGUGUACUUCGACAACUUGGGUGUAAACAUAAGAAAAACUGGAACAGCAACCAAGCAACCGACAUAAUGGAAACAUCAAGGUGGAAGUCCAUGAUUCAGUCUCACUCUUACUUAGCAGCAGAAGCCUUCUGAGCACUAGCAUCUGCACAGUGUCCACAGUUUGGCAUUCCACACACACGGCUAAAACAGUCCUAA